AACGAACGCUGGCGGCAGGCUUAACACAUGCAAGUCGAACGCCCCGCAAGGGGAGUGGCAGACUGGUGAGUAACACGUGGGAACAUUCCCAAAGGUACGGAAUAUUCUCGGGAAACUGAUAGCAAUACCGUAUGUGCCCGAAAGGGGAAAGAUUUAUCGCCUUUGGAUUGGCCCGCGUCGGAUUAGCUAGUUGGUGGGGUAAAAGCCUACCAAGGCGACGAGCCGUAGCUGGUCUGAGAGGACGACCCGACACACUGGGGCUGAGACACGGCCCAGACUGCUACGCGAGGGAGGAGAGGGGAACACUGGGCAAUGGGGGCAAGUCCGAUCCCGCCAUGCCGGGUGGAUGAUGAAGGGCGUAGGGUUGUAAAAUCCUUUCGUUGGGGACGAUAAUGACGGUACCCAAAGAAGAAGCUCCGGCUAACUACGUG
Molecule: ribosomal RNA, 431 nt
Filed under: uncultured bacterium
Lineage: Bacteria
Description: partial 16S ribosomal RNA
Rfam family: Bacterial small subunit ribosomal RNA
Source: RNAcentral